AUUCCAGCUCCAAUAGCGUAUACUAAAGUUGUCGCAGUUAAAAAGCUCGUAGUUGGAUUUCUGGAUGUGAAAGGUGGUCGGCACCUCACGGUGUCUGUACUUAUCAUUCGCGUCCAUCCUCGGGAGGAACAUGUGGACACUUAAGUGGGUCUGCUUGGGAAUCUCGUCAUUUACUGUGAGCAAAAUAGAGUGUUCAAAGCAGGCUUAUGCCGUUGAAUAUAUUAGCAUGGAAUAAUAAGAUACGACUUUGGUCUAUUUUGUUGGUUUACAUUCCAAAGUAAUGAUUAAUAGGGAUAGUUGGGGGUAUUCGUAUUCAAUUGUCAGAGGUGAAAUUCUUGGAUUUAUGGAAGACGAACUACUGCGAAAGCAUUUACCAAGGAUGUUUUCAUCA
This 391-nucleotide ribosomal RNA is filed under the name Chrysophyceae sp. RNAcentral's name for it is "partial small subunit ribosomal RNA". It matches the Rfam family "Eukaryotic small subunit ribosomal RNA", at positions 582 to 975 of the family's 1831-position model. The record is from RNAcentral. Lineage: Eukaryota; Chrysophyceae.